CGCGUAGGCGGCUCGGUAAGUCUGGAGUGAAAGUCCUGCUUUUAAGGUGGGAAUUGCUUUGGAUACUGUCGGGCUUGAGUGCAGGAGAGGUUAGUGGAAUUCCCAGUGUAGCGGUGAAAUGCGUAGAGAUUAGGAGGAACACCAGUGGCGAAGGCGACUUUCUGGACUGUAACUGACACUGAGGCUCGAAAGCCAGGGUAGCGAACG
RNAcentral lists this ribosomal RNA (207 nucleotides) under uncultured bacterium. Its description in RNAcentral is "partial 16S ribosomal RNA". It matches the Rfam family "Bacterial small subunit ribosomal RNA", at positions 568 to 774 of the family's 1533-position model. The record is from RNAcentral.